GACGCGCCAGCGCCGAAGGCAGGAGCGGGGGACCCAAGGUAAGUGCCGGGAGGCCAGCGGGAUCGGCCAAGCGGCUAGGGGUGAAGCAGGGUGCGGACCUCCGCACCCAGCCGGGCAACUCACGCCCGAACCCGACAGCUCACCUCGUAGGCGUCGGUGAGGAAACGA
Molecule: small RNA, 168 nt
Filed under: Streptomyces hygroscopicus
Lineage: Bacteria; Bacillati; Actinomycetota; Actinomycetes; Kitasatosporales; Streptomycetaceae
Description: c-di-AMP sequence
Rfam family: c-di-AMP riboswitch aptamer (ydaO/yuaA leader)
About the family: This family represents a conserved RNA structure found upstream of the ydaO and yuaA genes in Bacillus subtilis and related genes in other bacteria.
Source: RNAcentral